GAUCAUGGCUCAGGAUGAACGCUAGCUACAGGCUUAACACAUGCAAGUCGAGGGGCAGCGGGAUUGAAGCUUGCUUCAAUUGCCGGCGACUGGCGCACGGGUGAGUAACGCGUAUCCAACCUUCCGUACACUCAGGGAUAGCCUUUCGAAAGAAAGAUUAAUACCUGAUGGUAUGAUGAGAUUGCAUGAUAGCAUCAUUAAAAGAUUUAUCGGUGUACGAUGGGA
RNAcentral lists this ribosomal RNA (225 nucleotides) under uncultured bacterium. Its description in RNAcentral is "partial 16S ribosomal RNA". It matches the Rfam family "Bacterial small subunit ribosomal RNA", at positions 15 to 230 of the family's 1533-position model. The record is from RNAcentral.